Molecule: long non-coding RNA, 2452 nt
Organism: Hyaena hyaena (striped hyena)
Lineage: Eukaryota; Metazoa; Chordata; Mammalia; Carnivora; Hyaenidae
Exons: 5
Source: RefSeq, a predicted model, not a curated record
GUAGGUGAGGGAGCUGAGGCUGGGAGGGGUGAAGAGGCUCUGGCCGAAGACGGUAUAACUGAGGCCAGAAUAGAAGUUCGGUGGGCCUUGCCCAGGCUUCCUGAUUUUGCAGAGAGCCGGGCCUGUGGGCUGGUCUGGUUUAGAUUCAGCUGGAAAUCCAGAAGCCCCAGGGAGAAGUCCAUAGGAUGACUUCCCUGCUUGAGGGAGAGCAGGGAUGGACUCAGCCCCCAAGAGCACGUGUGCAAGACAAGACGCCUUCCCUACUGACAGGUGCUCCGUAAGCAUUUGUUGAAUGAACGAAAUAACUGGCUUUCGGGAAAACACCGCUCUUGGGCGGUGGUUCAGCUGACUUUACAACUCAGUAGCUGUGUGAUCUGAGGUUAAUUAUGCUCCCUGGCAAGCCCGAGCCCUCCUCUGUAAAAUGGAGAUCAGGUUUAUGGUCCCUCACCCCCGUGAAGAAUAAGAGUGAGGGGCAUGCUUGGAGCCAGGCUGCCUGGGCUCGAAGCUGCUUCUACCUUUUUCUAGCUGUGACCUUGUAGAACUACCCGGUCUCUUACGACCUCAGUUUUCUCAUCGAUCAAGUGGGGGUGAUGCUACUGACUCCCAAGGAUGUGGUGAGGAUGAAACGAACGGAUAAAGUGCCCUGAAGAGGUCUUGGCACCCGGAGGUGCUCCUCCAAUGUCGGCUGUUAGUAUGAGCAUCGCAGGCCUGGUGAAAGCACCCGAGCAGCUUUCAGAAGCAUAUGGAGAGCUUAGCACCGGGUCCCAAUCCACAGCGGCUUCUGGCUCCUGCCCUUCUCCCACGAGCCCUGCCAUUAUUGCCACAUCUGUAGUUUUUCACAGGAAACACGCAUAAAUUCGCUGCACAUCUUCUUGUUCAGAAAGGAGACGCCCUUCCCCACCAGGAGGGGCCUCUGUCACAUGGAACAAUAGAUCUCUUCCCUUUGACCUCUGGCUUCUGUCUGUCCAAGGUCAUGUGAGGAAUCUCCAAUGCCCAAUGCCUUUCCCAAUGUCUCUGUUUCUGAUUCAGUCAGGAGCCACCUGUUACGUGUCGGGCUUGACGUUGGCUUUGGUGAGUGGUCCUGGAGUUGCCGCACCUCUGACCUCCACCGCGGUUCUCAAACUUCAGUCGUGGGGGGACCAAGGGUAAUUGUGCCGCAGCCGCAGGCUGCUGCGGUCUAGCCUUUCCCUCAUUAUUUUUCGUUAACGUGUCUCACAUUCCAAACUUAAAUACGCUUGUUCCAAAGGGAAAUGUAUUCAUUACCAUAAAUGGAAAGCCAAUACCACCUGCCACUAAAAGGAGCUAUCCAUAAAAAGAAAUACCGUGGAAAUAAAGCAAUAUUAUUGAAUUCUGGGGGGGGGGGGUCAGGGUGGCCCAUUGAGGACUCUGGGCUCAAGGCCUGUUUGAUUUCCAUUUAAAAGGGAGAAGCGUUAAAGUUUCAGAAGGGUGUUAAAGACCUGUUAGUGCCGAAGUGAGAUUGCCUUCGAGGUGUGAUAAAAAGGAUGGAAAGAGAAUUCAGAGAGAAAAAUUCUCUAACCUCGGGAUUUCAUGUUUUUCUUUCCUUGUUUGUUCACCUUCCAGAACUUUCUCUUGUCUGCCAGGAACAAGGGGCCCCCUUUGACGUGAUUCAGUUCUUUAUUGAGAAAAGCUAAGGAGAGGGCCGCCUACCCUCUGCAUCUCACUUACUACAUUUUAGGAACUUUCUUUCCCCUCUUUGAAUGGAGGGAGCUGGACUGGAGAAACGCCCUUCUCAGAGGAUGUCCAGGCCCUAAGAGCCUGUGCGGCCUUAUCUGAAGGUCUCCUCCCUGCCUCCAAAUCAGCCGGGAUCUGCUGCACCUGCACAGUAUCCAGAUUUCUGAACCCAACAUUCAAGACCCUCUCCAGUCGAGUCCAGUGGCUUCCAGCAUGGUGGGGGGAGGAUGGCAUGAAGCAAAUGAUCGCACAAAGAAGUGAAUAGUUACAAACCCUGGCAAGUGCAAAGGAGAAGCCAGCCCCGAGCUUUUUCCAUGAGGAAAAGCCGCCUCUUCUCUCGACCCUGGAGAGGCUCCUGGUUGCUAGGAGAGAGAGGGACAUACAGCUUAUUUAAUAUAAAGCGAAGUGGCCCGGAACCCCCACACCGUGGUCAUCGCCUUUGAAGAACCUCGCUGCUUGCCUUCUGACCGGAAUAUUCUGUUACCGUGGGCAGCCUGGUGCUGGCAGCUGCCUUUCCGGACCCAAGUGUGUUGUCCAGCCGCCCUGACUGUGGUCACCUUGGAGCAUGCGCCGUGCCCUCGGGCACGGCUAGUACAGCCCUCCUACAGACCGAAAACUCUAUGUUCAGCCCUGCGAGAGAGGACCCCUGCGGGCCAUGUUCUCUGCUGGCUGCCCGGCACGGAGAGCCGCGCCUGGCACACUAUGGGCUGCUCGGUACAAAUGUGUCACAUACAGGCUUAAUAAAGGAGAGUGCCCUGGA